RNAcentral lists this ribosomal RNA (721 nucleotides) under Segatella copri. RNAcentral describes it as "bacterial LSU rRNA". It matches the Rfam family "Bacterial large subunit ribosomal RNA", at positions 1 to 724 of the family's 2925-position model. Lineage: Bacteria; Pseudomonadati; Bacteroidota; Bacteroidia; Bacteroidales; Prevotellaceae. The record is from RNAcentral.
UAAAGAAAGUAAGAAAGGGCGUAUGGCGGAUGCCUAGGCUCACGGAGGCGAUGAAGGACGUGAUAAGCUGCGAUAAGCUUCGGGUAGGUGCAAAUAACCCUUGAUCCGAAGAUUUCCGAAUGGGACAACCUAGCCGUCUGAAGGACGGUUACUCAAUCUUCAAGAUUGAGAGCUAACGCAGGGAACUGAAACAUCUUAGUACCUGUAGGAAGAGAAAAUAAAUUAAUGAUUCCCCUAGUAGUGGCGAGCGAACGGGGAACAGCCCAAACCAGUGGCGUCGCAAGGCGUGGCUGGGGUUGUAGGACCGCGACAUUGUAUUGAAAUGGUGAGUGGAAGUAUCUGGAAAGUUACAUCACAGAAGGUGAUAAUCCUGUACACGAAGCCAAAUCAGGCAUAGCGGUAUCCUGAGUAACGCGGGACACGAGGAAUCCUGCGCGAAUCUGCCGGGACCAUCCGGUAAGGCUAAAUACUCCCGUGAGACCGAUAGCGAACGAGUACUGUGAAGGAAAGGUGAAAAGAACCCCGAGCAGGGGAGUGAAAUAGUUCCUGAAACCAUGCGCCUACAAGCGGUCGGAGCACAGCAAUGUGUGACGGCGUGCCUUUUGCAUAAUGAUCCUACGAGUUACCGUCACUGGCGAGGUUGAGUACCAUGAGGUACGUAGCCGCAGUGAAAGCGAGCCUGAAUAGGGCGCACAGUCAGUGGGGGUAGACGCGAAACCAA